This is a non-coding RNA of Pelobates cultripes (western spadefoot toad), 1477 nucleotides long. The record is from the annotation of a GenBank genome assembly. NCBI's taxonomy places the organism in Eukaryota, Metazoa, Chordata, Amphibia, Anura, Pelobatidae.
CCCACCCACAAGAAUUGGUUACUGCACCUGGGGUAGUGGGUAGCUUGUCCAUGUCCAGGGGCUCCACCACGGCUCUGGGGGGGUACUAGCCUUCCGGAUCGGUGGGUUGUUGAGUGGGCAGAGACGGCGUGGGCGGACGGCGAACAUAUGCGGUAAACUUUGACCCUGUACCUCACAGUCAGCAGACACAUUCCAGCCAGCACAUCAGCAGCAGACCCUCCCUCCCAGACCCUCCUACCUCCUGGACAGCAACCAUUUUACAUUCAUUGUGAAGCUGCAUUCUUAGUGAGCUGUCCAGGAGGUGGGAGGGUCUGGCAGGGAGGGUCUGCUGCUGUUUGGCUGGAACCGUUCGGGACAUCACUACCUGUGAUACAUACUGCCGCUGGGGAUCUGGGCCAACCGCUCAGCAUCCCUGUAGGGCCGGUAGAAAGACCGCCGUCCCAUCUCCACCUGCCAUCUGUGGGUCUUCCCAGGACCAGUCUGUGAGGUCCCUCAACAUUUGCGAGUAAGGACCGCCUGCUUCCGCACCUGGCAACUCUGGCUGCUGCUGGGGAUCUGGGCCGACUGCCCAGCAUCCCGGUGGGCCCAGUGGAGAGACCUCGGUCCCAUCUCCACCUGCCUGUUGUGGUUCCUCACAGGACCAAUCUAUGAGGACCCCUACUUCGGGUUCCUCUGGCCGCCUCAGUGGCGAGGUCGGUUUCGCUACAGGGACAUAGACAAACACAGGAUCUGCCCGUUGUAUUUGGCCAUUUUCGUCAACGUGUGUUGGGCUCGGUGUAAAUCGGAGGGGCAUUUGGCAAUGUCGGGAUGGAAGGGUGCCAGUCAAUUGUCGGAUUAGUAUGGGACUUCUGCAAGGCUGCUCAGUAAUAGGUUCCGGUCUGGGAGUAGUAAAAUAGGUGGAAGGGGGUGAGCUAAUUUUACUAGUCAGCAUUUGGCGGAUGAAAAAAUAAAAAAAGUGUUAAACCAAAAACCUACCAGUAGGUGUCACCAGAUGGUAAGUAAUUGUAUCAAAAUAAUCUUUAUGGGUCUAAUAAUAAAACUUAACUUUUAAUAUAUUUAUACAUAAAAUAAAACCUUAUAGCAAUAAAUAUAUUAAAAUAGGGUAAGCAAUCCUACUUCUGUCUGUUGUAUGCCAGUAUAGAGUUAAAGAUGAUUAAACAAUGUAAUAUCAAUGUAACUCCCGAAGAUGGCCAGUAUGUGGCCCUAGAGUGCCUCCCUAAAGUCUAAUGAAGCAGAGAGAUUAAUUAUGUGCUUAUUUUAAUCACUGUUCACCCUGAUAUCUAGGCUUGAGUAAAGCUUUAGUUCUAUGGUAAAUUAAACAUCUCAGUUUGUAUUUUAGUAAAGAGGAUAUUUUGGACAAAGCUGGAAGGGGCCCAUCCAGUAACUAAAAAAGGAUAAAAGUGUACUCUAGUAUAUUAUACCAUUGAUCAUUUCUUCCAGUUGUAUUUUAGACUGUCACUGAAGGCACAUAGUGUUC